This 75-nucleotide transfer RNA is filed under the name Azospirillum brasilense. Its description in RNAcentral is "tRNA-Thr". It matches the Rfam family "tRNA". From Rfam's summary of the family: Transfer RNA (tRNA) molecules are approximately 80 nucleotides in length. Their secondary structure includes four short double-helical elements and three loops (D, anti-codon, and T loops). Further hydrogen bonds mediate the characteristic L-shaped molecular structure. tRNAs have two regions of fundamental functional importance: the anti-codon, which is responsible for specific mRNA codon recognition, and the 3' end, to which the tRNAs corresponding amino acid is attached (by aminoacyl-tRNA synthetases). tRNAs cope with the degeneracy of the genetic code in two manners: having more than one tRNA (with a specific anti-codon) for a particular amino acid; and 'wobble' base-pairing, i.e. permitting non-standard base-pairing at the 3rd anti-codon position. The record is from RNAcentral. Lineage: Bacteria; Pseudomonadati; Pseudomonadota; Alphaproteobacteria; Rhodospirillales; Azospirillaceae. RNAcentral also lists the same sequence under 13 other names.
GCCGCAGUAGCUCAGGGGUAGAGCAACUGAUUCGUAAUCAGUAGGUCCGGGGUUCAAAUCCCUGCUGCGGCACCA